RNAcentral lists this ribosomal RNA (460 nucleotides) under uncultured bacterium. Its description in RNAcentral is "partial 16S ribosomal RNA". It matches the Rfam family "Bacterial small subunit ribosomal RNA", at positions 338 to 795 of the family's 1533-position model. The record is from RNAcentral.
CCUACGGGUGGCAGCAGUGAGGAAUAUUGGUCAAUGGACGCGAGUCUGAAGCAGCAACGUAGCGUGAAGGAUGACUGCCCUCUGGGUUGUAAACUUCUUUUAUAUCGGGAUAAAACAUGGUAUCCAUACCCUCUUGUUUGUCCCAUAUGAUUACGGAUCGGCUAACUCUGUGCCAGCAGCCGCGGUUAUCCGGAGGGUCUGAGCGUUAUCCGGUUUUUUUGGGUUUAAAUGGAGCGUAGGUGGAGUGUUAAGUCAGUUGUGAAUGUUGGCGGCCAAACCGUAAUAUUGCCGGUGAAACUGGUAGGCUUGAGUACGGUAGAGGUGGGUGGAAUUCGUGGUGUAGCAGUGAAAUGCGUAGAUAUCACGAAGAACUCCGAUUGCGAAGGCAGCUCACUGGACUGGAACUGACACUGAUGCUCGAAAGUGUGGGUAUCAAACAGGAUUAGAUACCCGUGUAGUC